This 1661-nucleotide long non-coding RNA is filed under the name Cervus hanglu yarkandensis (Yarkand deer). RNAcentral's name for it is "lncRNA (ENSCHYG00000006360.1)". Lineage: Eukaryota; Metazoa; Chordata; Mammalia; Artiodactyla; Cervidae. The record is from RNAcentral.
CAGGGAGGUCUCAAGUAACCAGAUUUUUAGAAUCCGGCUGCCAUGCUGUGAAGAGGCCUGACAGUCACGUAGAGGGGCUCACCUGGAAGAGCGGUAUGGCCUGCACUGGUCUGCCCAGCUGAGCUUCCAGCCAGCACCAACUGCCAGUUGUGCGAAUGAGACCAUUUUGACACCUUAGCUGUCCUGAGCCUCACUUAGCAUCACACCAAACAGAAAAACUGCCACGUGAACCCACAGAAUCAUGAAAGUAAUAAAUUGCCAUUUGGGCUUGUUUGUUUUGGUGUCAUAAAUAAACAAAGUAGGCUAUGAAGGGGGACAUUAGGAAUACUCCUUACAAAAAGGGUUGUUAAAUCUGAUAUUAUUGGGGAAUUUCCCUGAUGGGUCCAGUGACUAAGAUUCCAUACUGCCAAUGCAGGGGGCCUGGGUUCAAUCCCUGAUCAGGGAACUAAAUCUCACAUGCUGCAACUCAGACCUGGCACAGCAAAUUUAACUAAUUAAUUAAAAAUCUGAUAUUGUUGAGAAUUACUGUCACAGAUAGCAAAUGCUUUACAAUUAGAAUGUUUAAAAGAUUCAGUAACUUGAAAAAAUGUAUUUUCUAACUGAAGAUAAUUUGGAUUAAAAAAUUUAUCAAUUCCUGGAUUUAACAAGAGAACCAAUAAGCCAGAAACUUGCUACAGCCAUGUUUGACUUUUUCUUAUUUCCUCUCAUUUUUUUUUUAAGUGAUAAGUUAAUUAUUCUCUACUGUGCUCAUUCACUUCAGUCUUGUCCGACUCUUUGCGACCCCAUGGACAUAGCCCAUUAGGUUCCUCUGGCAAGAAUACUUCUAGGGAUCAAGGGAUCUUCCUGACCCAGGUAUCAAACCCAUGUCUUGCGUCUCCUGCAUUGCAGGUGGAUUCUUUACCACUGAGCCACCUACUGGAAGACAGAAGAACACAGGCAGGGUAAGCUGUAGGUCUAAUUUCUUUUCGAGCAAGAGAGACAGAGCGAGAAAGAGAAACAUGAAGAUAAUGGAUCUUGAAGAAGGGUGCCAUCAAGUGGGGAAAAUGGCAAAAGAAUGGCAAAAACAUUGACCAUGAAUUUCAUCUACUUUACAGUUUACUUGGGACUGAAUGUUGUCUCCAUUAAAAAAAAAAAAAAAAAUCCAUCCUAGUAGUUAAUCAGACUUACCUGCAGACAACUUGAAGGGGACAAAAGAGAAAUGGGUGUAGUUAUGUUUUUAAAAAAAAAACACUUAGAAAAUCAUGCUUUACAAAUAAUGAGCACAAAUCCUUCUUGUUAAUCAUGGUGGAUUGGGUGAAUGCAUUUAUUUGUGUUCCCUCUGUAAACCAUACUCAAAGGAUAUUAAAGGAUUAAAAAAGAACAAACCCACCAGAACUAAGAGAAUGGGAGGAAAUGACGACAGACAAAAGAUGUCAACAAAGACUGAACAAGUGGAGGAGUGAUACCUGAUUCAGCAGUAUGAAUAAGGUGGAAACCCUAGACUGCUGGUAGAGAGCCAACUUCUGUCUGCAGAACCCUAGAAAGCCCCAGGAAUUUGCAGGAAGUAGGAGUCUCGGGGGUCCUGAAGUGGCACCAACAUUCACAGACUUCCUUGAGAGACUCUACUUGGACUUCUAGGGCAGGUCAGCCACCUCUCCCCAACCCUUCAGAAGACUGGCUGU